GACGAACGCUGGCGGCGUGCUUAACACAUGCAAGUCGAGCGGUAAGGCCUUUCGGGGUACACGAGCGGCGAACGGGUGAGUAACACGUGGGUGAUCUGCCCUGCACUUCGGGAUAAGCCUGGGAAACUGGGUCUAAUACCGGAUAUGACCUCCUAUCGCAUGGUGGGUGGUGGAAAGAUUUAUCGGUGCAGGAUGGGCCCGCGGCCUAUCAGCUUGUUGGUGGGGUAAUGGCCUACCAAGGCGACGACGGGUAGCCGACCUGAGAGGGUGACCGGCCACACUGGGACUGAGACACGGCCCAGACUCCUACGGGAGGCAGCAGUGGGGAAUAUUGCACAAUGGGCGAAAGCCUGAUGCAGCGACGCCGCGUGAGGGAUGACGGCCUUCGGGUUGUAAACCUCUUUCAGCAGGGACGAAGCGCAAGUGACGGUGCCUGCAGAAGAAGCACCGGCUAACUACGUG
This 462-nucleotide ribosomal RNA is filed under the name uncultured bacterium. RNAcentral describes it as "partial 16S ribosomal RNA". It matches the Rfam family "Bacterial small subunit ribosomal RNA", at positions 28 to 507 of the family's 1533-position model. The record is from RNAcentral.